This 253-nucleotide ribosomal RNA is filed under the name uncultured bacterium. RNAcentral's name for it is "partial 16S ribosomal RNA". It matches the Rfam family "Bacterial small subunit ribosomal RNA", at positions 524 to 776 of the family's 1533-position model. The record is from RNAcentral.
GACAGAGGGGGCAAGCGUUGCUCGGAAUCACUGGGCGUAAAGGGUGCGUAGGUGGCGUGGUAAGUCGGGUGUGAAAUUUCGGAGCUUAACUCCGAAACUGCAUUCGAUACUGCUGUGCUUGAGGACUGGAGAGGAGACUGGAAUUUACGGUGUAGCAGUGAAAUGCGUAGAGAUCGUAAGGAAGACCAGUGGCGAAGGCGGGUCUCUGGACAGUUCCUGACACUGAGGCACGAAGGCCAGGGGAGCAAACGGG